RNAcentral lists this ribosomal RNA (468 nucleotides) under uncultured bacterium. Its description in RNAcentral is "partial 16S ribosomal RNA". It matches the Rfam family "Bacterial small subunit ribosomal RNA", at positions 28 to 507 of the family's 1533-position model. The record is from RNAcentral.
GACGAACGCUGGCGGCGUGCUUAACACAUGCAAGUCGAACGGAAAGGCCCUGCUUGUGUGGGGUGCUCGAGUGGCGAACGUGUGAGUAACACGUGAGUAACCUGCCCUUGACUUAAGGAUAACUUCCGGAAACUGGGGCUAAUACCGGAUAGGAGCUCCUGCUGCAUGGUGGGGGUUGGAAAGUUUCGGCGGUUGGGGAUGGACUCGCGGCUUAUCAGCUUGUUGGUGGGGUAGUGGCUUACCAAGGCUUUGACGGGUAGCCGGCCUGAGAGGGUGACCGGCCACAUUGGGACUGAGAUACGGCCCAGACUCCUACGGGAGGCAGCAGUGGGGAAUAUUGCACAAUGGGCGGAAGCCUGAUGCAGCAACGCCGCGUGCGGGAUGACGGCCUUCGGGUUGUAAACCGCUUUCGCCUGUGACGAAGCGAGAGUGACGGUAAUGGGUAAAGAAGCACCGGCUAACUACGUG